This 69-nucleotide transfer RNA is filed under the name Marmota marmota marmota (Alpine marmot). It matches the Rfam family "tRNA". From Rfam's summary of the family: Transfer RNA (tRNA) molecules are approximately 80 nucleotides in length. Their secondary structure includes four short double-helical elements and three loops (D, anti-codon, and T loops). Lineage: Eukaryota; Metazoa; Chordata; Mammalia; Rodentia; Sciuridae. RNAcentral also lists the same sequence under 1 other name. The record is from Rfam by way of RNAcentral.
GGGGUUGUGGCUCAGAGGUAGAGCACUCACCUACCAUGUGUGAGGCACCGGUUUCGAUUCUCAGCACCA